AUUGAACGCUGGCGGCAUGCCUUACACAUGCAAGUCGAACGGUAACGGGCCUUCGGGUGCCGACGAGUGGCGGACGGGUGAGUAAUACAUCGGAACGUGCCCGAUCGUGGGGGAUAACGAGGCGUAAGCUUUGCUAAUACCGCAUACGAUCUACGGAUCAACGCCGGGGACCGCAAGGCCUUGCGCGGGCGGAGCGGCCGAUGGCGGCUGAGGUAGUUGGUGGGCUAAACGCUUUCCAAGCCGACGAUCUGUACCUGGACUGGGAGGGAGAUCGGCCACAUGGGAACGGGGACACGGACCAGGCUCCUACGGGAGGCAGCAGUGGGCAAUUUUGGACAAUGGGCGCAAGCCUUAUCCAGCCAUGCCGCGUGCAGGAUGAAGGCCUUCGGGUUGUAAACUGCGUUUGUACGGAACGAAAAGCCUUCGUUUAAGACAGGAGGGUCAUGACGGUACCGGAAGAAUAAGCACCGGCUAACUACGUG
This 482-nucleotide ribosomal RNA is filed under the name uncultured bacterium. RNAcentral describes it as "partial 16S ribosomal RNA". It matches the Rfam family "Bacterial small subunit ribosomal RNA", at positions 29 to 507 of the family's 1533-position model. The record is from RNAcentral.